RNAcentral lists this ribosomal RNA (432 nucleotides) under uncultured bacterium. RNAcentral's name for it is "partial 16S ribosomal RNA". It matches the Rfam family "Bacterial small subunit ribosomal RNA", at positions 338 to 795 of the family's 1533-position model. The record is from RNAcentral.
CCUACGGGAGGCAGCAGUGGGGAAUCUUGCGCAAUGGGCGAAAGCCUGACGCAGCAACGCCGCGUGGGGGAUGAAGGCUCUCGGGUCGUAAACCCCUUUCAGGGACGAAACGGUACCUGCAGAAGAAGCCCCGGCCAACUACGUGCCAGCAGCCGCGGUAACACGUAGGGGGCAAGCGUUGUCCGGAUUUAUUGGGCGUAAAGAGCUCGUAGGUGGUUCGGUAAGUCAGGUGUGAAACCUCCAGGCUCAACCUGGAGACGCCACUUGAUACUGCUGGACUGGAGUCCGGUAGGGGAGCGUGGAAUUCCUGGUGUAGCGGUGAAAUGCGCAGAUAUCAGGAGGAACACCAGCGGCGAAGGCGGCGCUCUGGGCCGGACUGACACUGAGGAGCGAAAGCGUGGGUAGCAAACAGGAUUAGAUACCCUUGUAGUC